UACGUAGGGGGCAAGCGUUGUCCGGAUUUAUUGGGCGUAAAGAGCGUGUAGGCGGCCAUGUAGGUCCGUUGUGAAAACUCGAGGCUCAACCUCGAGACGCCGAUGGAAACCAUGUGGCUAGAGGCCGGAAGAGGAGAGUGGAAUUCCUGGUGUAGCGGUGAAAUGCGCAGAUAUCAGGAAGAACACCCGUGGCGAAGGCGGCUCUCUGGGACGGUACUGACGCUGAGGAGCGAAAGCGUGGGGAGCGAACAGG
RNAcentral lists this ribosomal RNA (253 nucleotides) under uncultured bacterium. Its description in RNAcentral is "partial 16S ribosomal RNA". It matches the Rfam family "Bacterial small subunit ribosomal RNA", at positions 524 to 776 of the family's 1533-position model. The record is from RNAcentral.